UGAAUACGAGAUGCUACGGCGUCGAAGCAGUGUAUGUCAGACUUCCAAGAAAAGCUCGCAAUGUCAUAAAUAACGAAUGCCUGUACCAUAACCGACACAGGUGGGUAGGUAGAGUAUACUAAGGGGCGCGAGAUAACUCUCUCUAAGAACUCGGCAAAAUAACUCCGUAACUUCGGGAGAAGGAGUGCCUUCUUUAGAAGGUUGCAAUAACAAGAUCCAAGCAACUGUUUAUCAAAAACACAGGUCUCCGCGAAGUCGUAAGACGAUGUAUGGGGGCUGACGCCUGCCCAGUGCCAGAAGGUUAAAGAAAUUGGUUAGCCUUGCGAAGCUGAUGACUGAAGCCCUGGUGAACGGCGGCCGUAACGAUAACGGUCCUAAGGUAGCGAAAUUCCUUGUCGGGUAAGUUCCGACCCGCACGAAAGGCGUAAUGAUUUGGAUACUGUCUCGGAGAGGGACUCGGUGAAAUAGACUUGUCUGUGAAGAUGCGGACUACCUGCACCAGGACAGAAAGACCCUAUGAAGCUUUACUGUAACUUGAAAUUGAAAUUGGACUUUAUUUGCGCAGUAUAGGUGGAAGGCGUUGAAAGUAAUCUUGCGGGAUUAGUGGAGCCAUCAGUGAGAUACCACUCCUAUAAUGUUAGAUUUCUAACUUUGGAUCAUGAUCUGGUCAAAGAACAGUUUCAGGCGGGCAGUUUGACUGGGGCGGUCGCCUCCCAAAUGGUAACGGAGGCGUACAAAGGUUUCCUCUGAACGGGUAGAAAUCGUAUCUAGAGUGUAAAGGCAUAAGGAAGCUUGACUGUGAGACCUACAAGUCGAGCAGGGACGAAAGUCGGUCUUAGUGAUCUGACGGUGCUGAGUGGAAAGGCCGCCACUCAACGGAUAAAGGUUACUCUAAGGAUAACAGGCUGGUCUCCCCCAAGAGUUCACAUCGACGGGGAGGUUUGGCACCUCGAUGUCGGCUCAUCGCAUCCUGGGGCGGUAGUACGUCCCAAGGGUUGGGCUGUUCGCCCACGAAAGCGGUACGCGAGCUGGGUUCAGAACGUCGUGGGACAGUUCGGUCCAUAUCCGGUGUAGGCGUUAGAAUAUUGAGAGGAGCCUUCUUUAGUACGAGAGGACCGAGAAGGACAUACCUCUGGUGUACCAGUUAUCGUGCCAACGGUAAACGCUGGGUAGCUAUGUAUGGAGAGGAUAACCGCUGAAAGCAUCUAAGUGGGAAGCCCACCUCAAGAUGAGUAUUCUC
RNAcentral lists this ribosomal RNA (1240 nucleotides) under metagenome. RNAcentral's name for it is "bacterial LSU rRNA". It matches the Rfam family "Bacterial large subunit ribosomal RNA", at positions 1564 to 2815 of the family's 2925-position model. The record is from RNAcentral.